GGGAGGGACCCCGUGGAAGGUGAUUGGAUCAUGAGGGUGGUUCCCUCAUGCUGUUCUUGGGAUAGUGGGUUCUAUAAAAUUUAUGGUUUUAUAAUGCAGUUUUCCCUUCUCUUGCAUGCUCUCUCUCCCCUGUCACCAUGUAAGACGUACCUCUUCCCCUUUUGCCAUGAUUAUAAGUUUCCUGAAGCCUCCCCAGCCAUGCAGAACUGUGAGUCAAUUAAACCUCUUUUCUUUAUAAAUUACCCAGUCUCGGGUAUGUCUUUAUAGCAGUGUGAAGACGGACUAAUACAAUAUGCUAAUGCAAGUGGGAAAACUAAGAUUGAUUUUGGAAUGAAACAUGCAGUCUCAACUUAAGAACACCCAAUUUACAAAACUAUAUAUAUCCAGACAGAGUCAUACUGAAUGCCAUGUUCUCCCACAUCAAUGUCAAAUGCUUAGCAUGGCCAGCAAAAAGCUGUUCCUUUGCUGUAAUGCAACCGUGUCUUCUGAAUAUGGAUCCAUAUUCACUUUCCAUCUUAUCCUCCAUCAGACACACUCUUCUUUUCCUAAAGCAUUUGCAGGGCAACAGAGGGUUCCAGGUUUCAGAAUUUAAACAGUCGUAUCUCAUUGAAAAUAAGUUUAAUGAUUAUUAAGUUUCCAAGCUAGAUUACAGAAGUCUUUUUAGCCCAUAUCAUAAAUAAAAUAGUUCUGAAUUUUUCGUAUGGAAAAAUAUACUCUGAGUUCCAAGCAAACAACUUAAGAAAAUUUUUAGAACUAACACAUUCCUAUAUUGGGAAGAGCUCAAAAGUCUGUUCUUCCUCCCCAUCCACUGUUGUUUAAUUAAUCUCUUAAUAUCAUAAAGUCCCUCAUGUGCCAAGUGUAGACAGUCAUUUUUGAAUCAGGGCUCACUUUGUUAGCUUUUUUGUCAAUUAAACCUCUUUUCUAUAUAAAUUACCGAGUCUCAAGUAUGUCUUCAUAGCAGUGUGAAAACAGACUAAUACAGGAAUUUGGUACCAGGAGUGGGGCAUUGCUAUAAAGAUACUUGAAAGUGUGGAAGCACCUUUGGAACUGGGUAACGGGUAGAGGUUGGAAGAGUUUGGAGGGCUCAGAAGAAGACAGGAAGAUGAAGGAAAGUUUGGAGCUUCCUGGAGACUUGUUGAAUGGUUUUAACCAAAAUGCUGACAGUGAUGUGGACGAUUAAGUCCACACUGAGGUGGUCUCAGAAGGAGAUGAGGAACUUAUUGGGAACUGGAGUUGCCAAUAGAUCAGCAGUUAACCAGAAGCUUGAGUUGAGUAUGGACCUGACAUAUGGAUAGACAUAUUGACAUCUUAUGCUAGUGUUCUGGCCCUCCCUGCCCCGACAGUGAUAGAAGCAUCCAUCAACGCCCAUCCUGACAUCAGCAUAAAGCACAGGUUGGAGAGAUUGUAGAUAAAGGCAGAGAGGCUAUUAUAAUGCUUCUCACCUCCAGUUCCCCAGAUGGAAGACAAGGAGUAGGCUUCACAUGUCUCCCUUUCAGAAACAAAGCCACGUAAGACUCCAAAACCCCGCCUUCCCUUGGGCUCCACACAAUCAGCAUACAUCUUUCCUUAUCUGUUUUGUGCUCUGAAAAUCGUGUCUACCUCCAAAUGAUACAUCUUUAAAGUGAGUCACCCCUCCUCACAAUCUACUCCAAAAUUUCCAACAAGUUUUCUUCUUUUCAUUCUUCCUCCCACCAGCCUAUCCUAUUCCCUUCUCUCCCCCCACAAAAUCUAGCUCUUCUUUAAAUACAUUUAAACAUUUUCGCUAGGACAUUUCAUCUAUACAGGAUAUGCUAUAUUCUAACUAUUUCUUAGUAAACAUUGAAGGGAGUUUCUUCCUUUAUUCAAGUAUGGAACCCUGCUCAAUAUCCUUUUGGUCUUCAUAUGCCUUCUUUCAAGGCCUUUGUGAAAUUUUUUUCCAUGCCUGAAAGCCGGUGGGGUUUUACACAGGGACUGCGAUGGCUAAAUCCAAGGCAGAGUGGGAUCUUUAUCUAUUAACCAUUUGAUAACUCAAGUUUAUCCCUUGAUGAAUGAAUAAGUUAUCAUUUGCCUUUGGGUCCCAUUCUUGAGUGGUCAUGGAGAGUUCUGUAGCUCACCCUCUUUAUACUCAUAAUUUGCACAAAUUUCACCUAAGAGUAUUUACUUAACCACUUUAAUUCAAUUUGUCUCUACCUAAGACAUUUAAUUCAACAAAUAUUUUUUAAGCUUCUCUAUAAAAGGGACUCUGGCAACUUUCAGACCCGCACUGUAGCACCAGCUCUCUGCUGGCCCACCCCUUGCAGACUUUGGGCUUGCCUGCCUUCAAAAUCAUGUGAGUCAAUUCCUUAAAAUAAAUAUAUUUUUAUUUAUUUAUAUAUAUGUUUGCACACACACGCGAAUCUUAUUUUUUCUGUUUCUCUGGAGAAUUCUGACUAAUGCACCCCCAUUCACCAUCCAGGCUUUUGAGGAGAAAGAUACCAAUCUUAGCAGCAGAGGACACUCUGGAUAGAGCUAGGAGUUUGUUGCAGAGUCUGACAAAAGUUCCCUCUGCAGAAGGGAUGGAAGGAUAGCCUUGGGGGUUGAUUUAGGACUGGGUGUAUGACAUGGGGGAAAAGAAAUCCCUGGGGGAGCUAAAUGAGGGGAGGUGGACCCCUUAUGAUAGUUUAUCAGAGCAAUCUAAGAAAUCAUGUAGGCCUCUAAGAAAGCAUCAAGAAUCAAUGCAAUUUGAUUAAUUGACUUAAAAUAUGUUGAACUUUUCAGCCUCCAUUGUGUAUUUUUGGUGCAAUACUCUGUGCAACUAUUUCAUCCAAGACCAGAAGGGGCUGGAAGAUUGCCUGCUUCACAUUAAAACCCUCCUUAUUGUAUUGGUGCUGACACGACACAAGGAUAUGCAGUCUUUAUCCAGUCCUUAUUGCUCACAGAAAGAUACCAGUCCUUACUGCUCACAGAAAGUAGUGAAGCCUCCCUUCACUCACAGAGCCCACACAGGUAUGCCCUGGUUUAUGUAAUGAAUGGGCUGCUACAAAUAGGUGUGAUGCAUGCCUUUGUGAAUCACUUUAUAUUUUGAAGACACAUUAGAGGAGCUGGCUAUUUCAAAGAAAUUUCACAAGUGCCUCAUUUCUUAAUGUCACAAGCAUUUCUGAUUUAUAAUCAUAACCCCUUUCUAAUGUAUUAGCUUAUGAAGUUCCAUUUUUUGCCUAAGAGGUUUAAUCAAAGCAAGAUAAAACUAUGCUUAAUAAUAUUCAGUUACCUGAAAGAGCUAUUGCAGAAAUGCCUAAUAUAUUACCAGAAAGUAGCUUAAUGUCUCAAAUAAAUGUCAAGUUGUCCAAAUCAAACUGAUAGGCAGCUUAAUGAGGGAUAAAUGUCAUAAUUAUCCAUAUUUCUCCACAUUUUUUUUAGAAAAAAACAUUCACACAAUGAAGGGAAUCAGAAUCUGUUUUUAUAUCCCUAGAGUUAUAAACAUUUGUAUCAAAAUAUUUACAAUUAUAGUA
RNAcentral lists this long non-coding RNA (3467 nucleotides) under Homo sapiens (human). RNAcentral describes it as "HSALNT0185864". Lineage: Eukaryota; Metazoa; Chordata; Mammalia; Primates; Hominidae. The record is from RNAcentral.